Pantherophis guttatus is the source of this 535-nucleotide non-coding RNA. NCBI's taxonomy places the organism in Eukaryota, Metazoa, Chordata, Lepidosauria, Squamata, Colubridae. The record is from RefSeq and is a predicted model, not a curated record.
UCUGUUUUCAGGUGUGAGGCCUCCUGCAACCGUGUCCCAGUGGAAAUGGAGCUGCCUGUGGCCCUCCCGAGUUCUAUUUUUGCUGGCAGAGUCACCACAGGUCGGUCCUUCACUGUUUCCAGGGCAAUCCUAUGGGCCAGUUCUAAGCACCCUGCAGGCCAGAUCCGGCCCACAGGCCUUGAGUUUGACACCCCUGGCCUAGCCCAUUGUGCAAUCCCAGGCCACUUUCUGGAGGAGCUGUGAGAAAAAGAUGUGUCUGAAAAUUAAAGGAUGUCAGGAUUGAGCUGUGAGACAGGAAAGGAAAGUGCGCCAUUAAUAUUCUGACUUGAAACCUGCAUGCUCUCAGGGCCCAAAAUUUAUCUUCAUUCUUCAUAGGUGAUUUGCUUUGAAAGUUUCUUGGAGCACUCUUUGAUUUGAUUUUAUCCAAGGAUCAAAGGAAUACAUUUGGACACAUAGGGAAAAUGGUUUAUUUUGGUGUUAACACCAGUUGAGCAAUUAAAACAAGAUCAUUUGUGGUUGAUCAUGUGAGUCCUCA